Molecule: ribosomal RNA, 3277 nt
Filed under: Capsicum annuum
Lineage: Eukaryota; Viridiplantae; Streptophyta; Magnoliopsida; Solanales; Solanaceae
Description: bacterial LSU rRNA
Rfam family: Eukaryotic large subunit ribosomal RNA (bases 389-3277)
Source: RNAcentral
AUGACUCUCGGCAAUGGAUAUCUUGAUUCUUGCAUCAAUGAAGAACGUAUAAAAAUGUGAUACUUGGUGUGAAUUGCAGAAUCAUGUGAACCAUCUAGUCUUUGAAUGCAAGUUGCACCCAAAGAUAUUAAGCUGAGCGUAUGUCUGCCUGGGUGUCACAUAUCGCGUCACCCCACUCGCAUCACACCAUAAUCAUAGGGUGUGUUGUCAUUGUGGGGUAGAUAUUGGCCGUUCGUUCACCUCAAGCUCACGGCUGGCCUAAAUGUGAGUGCACAUCGAUUGACGGCGCAACAAGUGCUGGUUGUAACUCAACUUUCUUUUUUGUUGCGGCUACAACCUGCCGUGCGUCCGGACUCAAAGACACUAUUGUGCUUAAGUGGUCUGACCGUGAACCCAGGUUAGGCGGGAUUACUCAUUGAGUUUAAGAAUAUCAAGAAGCAGAGGAAAAGAAACUUACAACGAUUCCCUUAGUAAUGACGAGCAAAAUGGGAACAUGCCAGCCUUAGAAUUGGGCGGAUCCAUCAUCUAUAUUGUAGUCUGGAGAUGCGUCCUCAGCGACAGACCAAGCUUAAGUCUUCUAAAAGGGUGAGCCAGAGAGGGUGAGAGCCCCGUUGUUCCCCGACCUUGUCGUACCACAAGGCGCUGUCUACGAGUCAGGUUGUUUAGGAAUAUAGCCUAAAUCGGGCGGUGAAUUCUGACCAAGGCUAAAUAUGAGCGAGAGACCAAUAGCGAACAAGUACCACGAGGGAAAGAUAAAAAAACUUUAAAAAGAGAGUCAAAUAGUGCUUUAAAUUGUUUGGACAGAAGAGGAUGGGGGCCUGUGAUAUGCCCCGAUUAGACCAACGUGGAUUAGGGGGCGGCCAAAGCUCAAGCUCCUGAUACACUCGUGAAAUGCCGUCUCCUUAAUUGUGGCAGGCAGCGCAUGUCUGUGGCAUGAUUCGGCAUCUACCCGCUCUAGACGCUGGCCUAUGGGCUCCCCAUUUGACCCAUUUUGAAAUAUGGACCAAGGAGUGUGACAUGUGUGUGGGUCAAUGGGCGAGUAAACCAGUAAGGCGUAAGGAAGCUGAUUGGUUGGAUCAUCCUAAGGGGUAUAUCACCGACUGACCUUCAACUUCUAUGAAGGGUUCAAGUGUGAGAAUACCUAUCAGAACUCAAAAGGUGGUGAACUCUACCUUAGCUUGGAAAAGCCAAAGAAAACUAUGGUAGAGGCCUACAAUGAUACUGACGUGAAAAUUAUUCGUCUGACUUGGGUAUGGGGCGAAAGACUAAUCGAACAGUCUAGUAGCUGGUUCCAUCAGAAGUUUCCCUCAGGAUAACUGGAGCUCACGUGAAAGUUCUAUCUGGUAAAGCCAAUGAUUAGAGGCCUUGGGGGCACAACUCCCUCGAGCUAUUCUCAAACUUUAAAUAGGUCGGUGUGGCUGAUUUGUUGAGCUGUGCUACGGAAUCAAGAGGUAUAAGUGGGCUAUUUUUAGUAAGUAGAAUUAGUGAUGAGGGAUGAACCGGAAUCCGGGUUACGGUGCCAAACUGUGCGCUAACCUAGAUCCUACAAAGGGUGUUGGUCAAUUAAGACAGCAGGAUGGUGGUCAUGGAAGUCGAAAUUCACUAAGGAUUGUGUAAUAACUAACUUGACGAAACAAAUAGCCUCAAAAAUGGAUGAUGCUUAAGCGCGCGACCUACACCCAGCCAUCGGGGCAAGUGCCAAGCCCCGAUGAGUAGGAGGGCAAGACGGUCACUACAAAACCAUAGGUGCGAGGCUAGGCAAAGCGGCCAUUGGUACAGAUCUUAGUGGUAGUAGCAAAUAUUCAAAUGAGAACUUUGAAGGCCGAAGAGAGGAAAGGUUCCAUAUGAAUGGCACUUGCACAUGGGUUAGGCGAUCCUAAGGGUCGGGGGAACCCCCAUAAAUAGCAUGUUUCACGUGUACCUUGAAAAUAAAUCGAGUUAAAAUUCUUGAACCGUCCAUGACCGAUCGUACUCAUAGUCGCAUCAGGUCUCCAUGGUAAAUAACCUCUGGUCGAUGGAAUAAUGUAGGCAAGGAAAGUUGGAAAAAUAGAUUGAUAACUUUGAAAAAAGGAUUGGCUCUGAGGGAUGGGGAUGGGAUUCCCAGUCCUGAACCCGUCGGCUUUCGGUGGACUGCUUGAGCUACUCUUGCAGUGAGAGCGGGUCACUACAGGCCGGCCAGGGGAUGAACUGGGAAUGGUUCCUUCGGGGGCCUUCCCCGCGCUUUGAACAGCCAACUCAGAACUGGUACAGACAAGGAGAAUCCGACUAUUUAAUUAAAACAAAGCAUUGCGAUGGUCCUAACAGAUCUUCACGCAAUGUGAUUUCUGCCUAGUGAUCUGAAUGUCAAAGUGAAGAAAUUCAACCACGCGCAUGUAAAUGGUGUGAGUAACCAUGACUCUCUUAAGGUAGACAAAAAACUUUUCAUAUAAUUUGUGACGUGUAUGAAUGGAUUCAUGAGAUUCCUACUAUCCCUAUCUACUAUCCAGCAAAACCACAGCCAAGGGAACGGGCUUGGAAAAAUAAGAAGGGAAAGAAGACCCUGUUGAACUUGACUCAAGUCAAAGUUUGUGAAAUGACUUGAGAGGUGUAGUAAAAGGAGAAAGUGAAUACAACUACUUUUAAUGUUAUUUUACUUAUUCCAUGAAUUGAAAGUGGGGCACUGCCCCUCUUUUUGGACCCAAGGCUUGCUCCGUGGGCUGAUCUGGGUGAAAGAAAUUGUCAGGUGGAAAGUUUGGCUGGGGCGGCACAUCUUUAAAAAUAUAACAUAAGUGUCAUAAGAUGAGCACAAUGAGAACAGAAAUAUCAUGUGGAACAGAAGGGUAAAAGCUCGUUUGAUUUUGAUUUCCAGUACGAAUACGAACCGUGAAUGCAUGGGCUAAUGAUUCUUUAUACCUUGAAAAUUGGAAGCUAGAGUUGUCAGAAAAGUUAACGCAGGGAUAACUGGCUUAUGGAAGCCAAGCAUUCAUAGAGAACGUGAACUAGGUUUAGAACAUCCCGAGAUAGGUUCCUAUUACCCUAGUGAUGACCGUGUCGCAAUUGUAAUUCAACGUAGUACAAGCAAAAUCGUUGAUUCACACAAUUAGUCUUCGCGCUUGGUUGAAAAGCCAGUGGCGCGAAGCUACUGCGUGCUGGAUUAUGAUUGAACACCUCUAAGUUAGAAUUUGGGCUAAAAGCGAUGCAUGCACCAGUUGUUCUCUUACCGACCCACAGUAGGGGUCUCAGCCCCCAAGGGCACGUGUCGUUACCUAAGCCUUCAUAGUGGAAAGGACGCAGUGUC